Non-coding RNA from Erythranthe guttata (spotted monkey flower), 991 nucleotides. NCBI's taxonomy places the organism in Eukaryota, Viridiplantae, Streptophyta, Magnoliopsida, Lamiales, Phrymaceae. The record is from RefSeq and is a predicted model, not a curated record.
UCAAUUAUUACUGUUUUCGGGGCUAUUCGAUUUCAAGGAAUAACAAAUUCCGGCAGCUGAAUCCCCCCACCGCCCAUCGGUAUUUUCCGCUGCCGCUAACGCAUCUGGGCUCCGCGCAGCUGCUUAUUCGGGCCUCGUGGCCGUUGUUUAUCUUUUCGGUACAUAUUUUUACGGCUUUCAUGUAUGUACUACCUGAGAAGUGCCUCGACAAAGGGCGUCAAGUUACAGCAAUCUUAGAAUUUUCACACUUUAAUUAAUAUAUAAUCUGAAACUUGCGUGUGCAUCUCUACGGUAGCUAUUGGGAUUGUGUGAUUUUAUUUUUUGCUGUCAAGAAUACACUCUGCUUUGAAGAUUCAACACCGUGCGAUCACAACCCUAGAGAGGCGGUGGCCAUGGUGAUUAGUAGGUAAUCUGAAAAUUAAAUCUAGAGAAUGGAAUUGGUGGAAGCCAAAAGGCCGCGGGCCGAGGGCGAAUUUGUUCAGGCGAGGGAUUCGUCGGCGCAGGCAACGGUGUCUAGGUUUUCGCCCACAAUUGUUGACUGUCGCCCGCCGCCCCUUCUUCCGCCAUCCGCCGCCGCUUUCUCCGAUAUCCGCCGCCGCCUCGUUCGAUGCACGCCCGCUGUCACCUUUCUCCGCAUUUUUCAUCCAAUACUUGACUGCGCCGCCCUUUUUGUCCAUAUCUUGAAUUUGUGGAAUCAAGGAGCAGCAGAAACCACAAAUAAUUCGACCAUGAAGCUAUUGAGGCUGUUAUGAGUUGAACACUUUGUUCACUUCUCCACUUCUCAUAAUCGCGAGGUAUUUUACCUUUUUCUUUUUUUUCCUUUUCUUCCCCAUUUUGUACUGGUUUUCUAGAUAAGAAUGGAGCAACCCAGAUUUUGUAUUCGAAGUUGUUUCCCUUUUCUUUGUGGAUUCUAAGCAGCUUCUCAACAAUUUUGCGAUUGCCCUGUUUUAUUUUAACCAGGAUGAUGCUCAUCUUCACCACUUCAAAGGUA